GGGCGAUUAGCUCAGUUGGGAGAGCACCUCCCUUACAAGGAGGGGGUCACUGGUUCCUCCCUUACAAGGAGGGGGUCACUGGUUCGAGACCGGUAUCGCCCACCA
This 105-nucleotide transfer RNA is filed under the name Pasteurella multocida subsp. multocida. RNAcentral's name for it is "tRNA-Val". It matches the Rfam family "tRNA". Rfam says of the family: Transfer RNA (tRNA) molecules are approximately 80 nucleotides in length. Their secondary structure includes four short double-helical elements and three loops (D, anti-codon, and T loops). The record is from RNAcentral. Lineage: Bacteria; Pseudomonadati; Pseudomonadota; Gammaproteobacteria; Pasteurellales; Pasteurellaceae.